This 237-nucleotide non-coding RNA is filed under the name Schnuerera ultunensis. RNAcentral's name for it is "Clostridium ultunense T-box sequence". It matches the Rfam family "T-box leader". Rfam says of the family: Uncharged tRNA acts as the effector for transcription antitermination of genes in the T-box leader family. T-boxes are found upstream of many aminoacyl-tRNA synthetase genes and some amino acid biosynthetic genes usually in Gram-positive bacteria. The record is from RNAcentral. RNAcentral also lists the same sequence under 1 other name. Lineage: Bacteria; Bacillati; Bacillota; Tissierellia; Tissierellales; Tepidimicrobiaceae.
CGAGAGGCGAUGAAAAAGAGGAAUAAGGAACAGGACCUCUAGAGAGCCGGGGCAGCUGGAAACCGGCGGUCCUCCUCAUAUCCAGAGCGCUUUGGAGCCCCUGAGCGGAAAUUGGAGUAUGCUCAGACGGAUCGUCCCGUUAUCAUGGCGAUGGUUAUUAACCUGUGAAGACUAUCUCUCGCAAGAGGAUAGUGAAUAAGGGUGGCACCGCGAUGGAAAUUCCCUUUCGCCCCUUAC